This 53-nucleotide transfer RNA is filed under the name Metarhizium anisopliae. Its description in RNAcentral is "tRNA-Tyr". The record is from RNAcentral. Lineage: Eukaryota; Fungi; Ascomycota; Sordariomycetes; Hypocreales; Clavicipitaceae.
GCUAAUAUAUGGAAAUACCUAUAGAAUGUAACUCUCCGGAUGGUCUAUUAUCU